This is a long non-coding RNA of Magallana angulata, 309 nucleotides long. RefSeq lists it as uncharacterized. The transcript is spliced from 3 exons. The record is from RefSeq and is a predicted model, not a curated record. NCBI's taxonomy places the organism in Eukaryota, Metazoa, Mollusca, Bivalvia, Ostreida, Ostreidae.
CGUGUUUCUUCAUAAUGUAUUAAAGUGCAUAACAUACACAGAAGUAUUUUGCUCUAACAAGGUAUUAUAAACUGUUUGCAGUCGCAGUUUCUUUUUUAUCGAUCAUAUUAGAUGCUGGGAAAAACUAUAAUCGACACUCAUCAUCGCUUUUCGGAUUAAAUUGCAUAAUUCUUUCUUCAUAUAUCUUACACAUGCCUCCGUAACGCUACUGCCAUGCGAGGACGACAGACGGUUUUCACGUGUUUCACCACAUUCAGUCACGAUUCUUUAAAUGAAGAAAGGCUUUACUGUAACAUGUGUUUGUAUAUG